AUUGAACGCUGGCGGCAUGCUUUACGCAUGCAAGUCGAACGGUAACAGGUUAAGCUGACGAGUGGCGAACGGGUGAGUAAUGCAUCGGAACGUGCUCGGUCGUGGGGGAUAACGCAGCGAAAGCUGCGCUAAUACCGCAUACGAUCUGAGGAUGAAAGCGGGGGACCGUAAGGCCUCGCGCGAUCGGAGCGGCCGAUGUCAGAUUAGGUAGUUGGUGGGGUAAAGGCCCACCAAGCCGACGAUCUGUAGCUGGUCGGAGAGGACGACCAGCCACACUGGGACUGAGACACGGCCCAGACUCCUACGGGAGGCAGCAGUGGGGAAUUUUGGACAAUGGGCGAAAGCCUGAUCCAGCAAUGCCGCGUGCAGGAAGAAGGCCUUCGGGUUGUAAACUGCUUUUGUACGGAGCGAAAAGGUCCUUUCUAAUACAAGGGGCUCAUGACGGUACCGUAAGAAUAAGCACCGGCUAACUACGUGCCAGCCGCCGCAGUAA
RNAcentral lists this ribosomal RNA (493 nucleotides) under uncultured bacterium. RNAcentral describes it as "partial 16S ribosomal RNA". It matches the Rfam family "Bacterial small subunit ribosomal RNA", at positions 29 to 523 of the family's 1533-position model. The record is from RNAcentral.